UCUUGAGGUUGGAAUACCUUUCCUUGAUAAUUUUAACCGAGUGUUAAUUAUUAUGAUCGAGUUUUAUAUAAGCUUGACGAGUUUAUCUAAAAUCAGGAUGGGAACUGAUGGACGGGAAAUGUUUGGUCGAGAACUGGCCAGAAAUAAUUUCAGCUUCUUGUUAAUUAGUCACUAGAGUUGCACCUUCUUGCUUCUUCAGUAUUUAAGUCACAUGACCUGCGCCUACUUGCUUACAUGCUUGCUCAUUAGAAGUCACAUGCUGGUCACAAGCUGUUUGCUUCAGCUGCUUGUAUCUUUCUUCAUGGACGGAAAAUGUUCAGCUGCUUGUGCUGCUUACUGUGCUGAAGCAUGUCUCCAGCUGUCUAACCUCAGUUUUGUCUUUUGUGGGAGAAAAUCAUUAUCUGAAGCAACUCCUUAUGAUAUACAAUACCUUCUUCUCUCCUCUGGACGUUCAUAACCUGCAGCAAAACAAGAAAAAUUUCAGAGAAAAUCUGAGAGAGAAAAUAAGAGGAAAAAUGAGAGAAAAAUUCUGAAGAGGAGACUGAGUGGAUGACCCUUUCUAACCUUCGUGGGCCUUGAAUCAGUGGUUGUGGUGUGUGGAAAAUUUGUAGAUGGUUCAUGAGAUUCACGAGAUCAGUUCACAACUUAUCAGUGUCGAGUAUUAAACCGUACAACCAUGAGUAAAGUUUGGAGAGAAGUUCCAACCGAGAUUAUCUAACUGUCAGUUGUUGUGGUCAGUGGUUGAGAUAAUCUUAAAAGAUCACACCUGUUCAUCCAGUAGAACCGUGUCCUGUCUUGGUUCAGUUCGUCGAAGAGAUUGGAAUGACCAGUCGGACCAUGCCUUGUCCUCAUUCUUUUUCAGGAGUGAUCAGCAAGUGGUGAAUGUUUAGUUUGAGCUCGUGUCUAGUCUUCCUUAGUCAAUCUCAUGGAUUCAAAGGUGAGUCUAGAUAGAUAAUUGAAGAGUUAUGAAUGAGUGUUUAAUGGUUGAAAGUAUUUAUUAUAGAUGAUUGUUUCUAGAUAAAUAAUGAAUUGGUGAGGUGUUUACUUAGUAUAAACACUUAAUAAAUAUUUAUGAAAUAUUAUCUGAAGUUUAUUCCGAGCCUUAGUACUUGUUCUCAAGUACUAAUAUAUAUAUAUAUAUAUAUAUAUAUAUAUAUAUAUAUA
Long non-coding RNA from Brassica napus (rape), 1164 nucleotides. RefSeq lists it as uncharacterized. The transcript has 3 exons. Lineage: Eukaryota; Viridiplantae; Streptophyta; Magnoliopsida; Brassicales; Brassicaceae. The record is from RefSeq and is a predicted model, not a curated record.